RNAcentral lists this ribosomal RNA (656 nucleotides) under Fictibacillus phosphorivorans. Its description in RNAcentral is "bacterial SSU rRNA". It matches the Rfam family "Bacterial small subunit ribosomal RNA", at positions 52 to 690 of the family's 1533-position model. Lineage: Bacteria; Bacillati; Bacillota; Bacilli; Caryophanales; Fictibacillaceae. The record is from RNAcentral.
UAUAAUGCAAGUCGAGCGAAUGAAGAGGAGCUUGCUCCUCUGAUUUAGCGGCGGACGGGUGAGUAACACGUGGGUAAUCUGCCUGUAAGACGGGGAUAACUCCGGGAAACCGGGGCUAAUACCGGAUAAUAAGAGAAGAAGCAUUUCUUCUUUUUGAAAGUCGGUUUCGGCUGACACUUACAGAUGAGCCCGCGGCGCAUUAGCUAGUUGGUGAGGUAACGGCUCACCAAGGCGACGAUGCGUAGCCGACCUGAGAGGGUGAUCGGCCACACUGGGACUGAGACACGGCCCAGACUCCUACGGGAGGCAGCAGUAGGGAAUCUUCGGCAAUGGGCGAAAGCCUGACCGAGCAACGCCGCGUGAGCGAUGAAGGCCUUCGGGUCGUAAAGCUCUGUUGUUAGAGAAGAACAAGUACGAGAGUAACUGCUCGUACCUUGACGGUACCUAACCAGAAAGCCACGGCUAACUACGUGCCAGCAGCCGCGGUAAUACGUAGGUGGCAAGCGUUAUCCGGAAUUAUUGGGCGUAAAGCGCGCGCAGGCGGUCUCUUAAGUCUGAUGUGAAAGCCCACGGCUCAACCGUGGAGGGUCAUUGGAAACUGGGAGACUUGAGUGCAGGAGAGAAAAGUGGAAUUCCACGUGUAGCGGUGAAAUGCG